Molecule: ribosomal RNA, 301 nt
Filed under: uncultured bacterium
Lineage: Bacteria
Description: partial 16S ribosomal RNA
Rfam family: Bacterial small subunit ribosomal RNA
Source: RNAcentral
CAGUAGCCGCGGUAAUACGUAGGUGGCAAGCGUUGUCCGGAAUUAUUGGGCGUAAAGGGCUCGCAGGCGGUUUCUUAAGUCUGAUGUGAAAGCCCCCGGCUCAACCGGGGAGGGUCAUUGGAAACUGGGAAACUUGAGUGCAGAAGAGGAGAGUGGAAUUCCACGUGUAGCGGUGAAAUGAGUAGAGAUGUGGAGGAACACCAGUGGCGAAGGCGACUCUCUGGUCUGUAACUGACGCUGAGGAGCGAAAGCGUGGGGAGCGAACAGGAUUAGAUACCCCCGUAGUCCCCUGUCUCUUAUA